This 467-nucleotide ribosomal RNA is filed under the name uncultured bacterium. Its description in RNAcentral is "partial 16S ribosomal RNA". It matches the Rfam family "Bacterial small subunit ribosomal RNA", at positions 28 to 507 of the family's 1533-position model. The record is from RNAcentral.
GAUGAACGCUGGCGGCGUGCUUAACACAUGCAAGUCGAACGGUGAAGCCCUGCGGGCUGCUUGGGUUGGUGGCGAACGGGUGAGUAGCACGUAAGCUACCCGCCCCUUUCGCUGAGCUAAGGGCUGGAAACGGUAUCACAGACUAGAUAUCUCCCGUCACCGCAUUGUGUGUGGGUGGAAAGUUGUUUCGGUUGGGGAUGGGCUCGCGGCCUAUCAGCUUGUUGGUGAGGUAAUGGCUCACCAAGGCGUCGACGGGUAGCCGGCCUGAGAGGGUGACCGGCCACACUGGGACUGAGACACGGCCCAGACUCCUACGGGAGGCAGCAGUGGGGAAUAUUGCACAAUGGGCGGAAGCCUGAUGCAGCAACGCCGCGUGAGGGAUGACGGCCUUCGGGUUGUAAACCUCUUUUAGCAGGGAAGAAGCGAAAGUGACGGUACCUGCAGAAGAAGCGCCGGCUAACUACGUG